GAUGAACGCUGGCGGCGUGCUUAACACAUGCAAGUCGAACGAUGAAGCCCAGCUUGCUGGGUGGAUUAGUGGCGAACGGGUGAGUAACACGGGAGUAACCUGCCCUUAACUCUGGGAUAAGCCUGGGAAACUGGGUCUAAUACCGGAUAGGAGCGUCCACCGCCGGGUGGGUGUUGGAAAGAUUUAUCGGUUUUGGAUGGACUCGCGGCCUUUCCGCUUUUUGGUGGGGUAAUGGCUCACCAAGGCGACGACGGGUAGCCGGCCUGAGAGGGUGACCGGCCACACUGGGACUGAGGCACGGCCCAGACUCCUACGGGAGGCAGCAGUGGGGAGUAUUGCACAAUGGGAGCAAGCCUGAUGCAGAGACGCCGCGUGAGGGAUGACGGCCUUCGGGUUGUAAACCUCUUUCAGUAGGGAAGAAGCGAAAGUGACGGUACCUGAAGAAGAAGCACCGGCUAACUACGUG
This 466-nucleotide ribosomal RNA is filed under the name uncultured bacterium. RNAcentral's name for it is "partial 16S ribosomal RNA". It matches the Rfam family "Bacterial small subunit ribosomal RNA", at positions 28 to 507 of the family's 1533-position model. The record is from RNAcentral.